UGGGUUAGUGGCGGACGGGUGAGUAACGCGUGGAUAACCUGCCGUAUACAGGGGGAUAACACUUAGAAAUAGGUGCUAAUACCGCAUAAGCGCACGGUUCCGCAUGGAACAGUGUGAAAAACUCCGGUGGUAUACGAUGGAUCCGCGUCUGAUUAGCCAGUUGGCGGGGUAACGGCCCACCAAAGCGACGAUCAGUAGCCGGCCUGAGAGGGUGGACGGCCACAUUGGGACUGAGACACGGCCCAAACUCCUACGGAAGGCAGCAG
This 266-nucleotide ribosomal RNA is filed under the name uncultured bacterium. Its description in RNAcentral is "partial 16S ribosomal RNA". It matches the Rfam family "Bacterial small subunit ribosomal RNA", at positions 88 to 354 of the family's 1533-position model. The record is from RNAcentral.